CUCUUCUUAUCGCAAACUCAAUGAACAUUUUGGAACCAUCUCCAGUGGAUUGUGAUGGAAAUCAACGCGAAGAUGUUAUGCAGGCAAGUGAGCCCGUUGACUUGUUCGUCCUACCUGGCCUUGCAUUUGACAGAUUGGGAAGACGUUUGGGACGUAGUGGUGGUUACUAUGAUAUGUUCCUGAAGAAAUACAAAGAGCUUGCUAGCAAGAGGAACUGGAAGCAGCCCCUUCUUGGUA
Molecule: non-coding RNA, 237 nt
Organism: Camellia sinensis
Lineage: Eukaryota; Viridiplantae; Streptophyta; Magnoliopsida; Ericales; Theaceae
Source: RefSeq, a predicted model, not a curated record